GAUGAACGCUGGCGGCGUGCCUAAUACAUGCAAGUCGAGCGAACAGACGAGGAGCUUGCUCCUCUGACGUUAGCGGCGGACGGGUGAGUAACACGUGGAUAACCUACCUAUAAGACUGGGGUAACUUCGGGAGACCGGAGCUACUACCGGAUAAUAUAUCGAACCGCAUGGUUCACUAGUGAAAGACGGUUUUGCUGUCACUAAUAGAUGGAUCCGCGCUGCAUUAGCUAGUUGGUAAGGUAACGGCUUACCAAGGCAACGAUGCGUAGCCGACCUGAGAGGGUGAUCGGCCACACGGGAACUGAGACACGGCCCAGACUCCUACGGGAGGCAGCAGUAGGGAAUCUUCCGCAAUGGGCGAGAGCCUGACGGAGCAACGCCGCGUGAGUGAUGAAGGACUUCGGAUCGUAAAACGCUGUUGUUAGGAAAGAACAAAUGCGUAUUUAACUAUGCACGUAUUGACGGUACCUAAAGAAAAAGCCCCGGCUAACUCCGUG
This 497-nucleotide ribosomal RNA is filed under the name uncultured bacterium. Its description in RNAcentral is "partial 16S ribosomal RNA". It matches the Rfam family "Bacterial small subunit ribosomal RNA", at positions 28 to 507 of the family's 1533-position model. The record is from RNAcentral.